RNAcentral lists this ribosomal RNA (146 nucleotides) under Ochotona princeps (American pika). RNAcentral's name for it is "5.8S ribosomal RNA (ENSOPRG00000017976.1)". It matches the Rfam family "5.8S ribosomal RNA". From Rfam's summary of the family: 5.8S ribosomal RNA (5.8S rRNA) is a component of the large subunit of the eukaryotic ribosome. Lineage: Eukaryota; Metazoa; Chordata; Mammalia; Lagomorpha; Ochotonidae. The record is from RNAcentral.
AACGCUUAACGGUGGAUCACUUGGCUCGUGUGUCAAUGAAGAAUGCAGCUGGUUGUGAGAAUUAAUGUGAAUUGCAGGACAAAAAAAAGUUACAUUUUUCCCAUUGCACCAAAAGCCUGAUCCUACAAAGGUAUGAUUUAACCAUA